Molecule: transfer RNA, 76 nt
Filed under: Gammaproteobacteria bacterium
Lineage: Bacteria; Pseudomonadati; Pseudomonadota; Gammaproteobacteria
Description: tRNA-Arg
Rfam family: tRNA
About the family: Transfer RNA (tRNA) molecules are approximately 80 nucleotides in length. Their secondary structure includes four short double-helical elements and three loops (D, anti-codon, and T loops).
Source: RNAcentral
ACGUCUGUAGCUUAAUCGGAAGAGCAUUCGGUUUCUACCCGAACGGUUGUGGGUUCGACUCCUGCCAGGCGUGCCA